CUACUUCUUUUCUCCAUUGUGUAACAACCAUUAUAAGAUAGCAUAUCCAUCUCCAAAUGCCAAAUAAUACAUAAAGAAGCUUAACUUCCAUAGAUUUGUCAAUAUUAUUCUGACAUUUAAUACUUCAACUUGCAACUAUAAGGGUGAUAUGCUUGCCUUGGCCCCAAUGAUGUCACACCAAUAAUGUGAAACUUUUGAAACUAACUCAUGGUAGGAUGCCACGUGGCAAUGUGCAAAAAAUUUCUUGUUUAGUAGACCAGUAGUUGAACUUGAAUUCAAGUUGUCAUGUGUCACAUUGCAAUAGCAUUUGCUCCAUGUUGGGUGAUGUUUUCAUACAUCUAAUACUUGCUUUAUAAGAUUUUUUGUUUUUCAACAUGAAAG
Molecule: unclassified non-coding RNA, 381 nt
Filed under: Hevea brasiliensis (rubber tree)
Lineage: Eukaryota; Viridiplantae; Streptophyta; Magnoliopsida; Malpighiales; Euphorbiaceae
Source: RNAcentral